This 350-nucleotide ribosomal RNA is filed under the name uncultured bacterium. RNAcentral's name for it is "bacterial SSU rRNA". It matches the Rfam family "Bacterial small subunit ribosomal RNA", at positions 8 to 350 of the family's 1533-position model. The record is from RNAcentral.
AGAGUUUGAUCCUGGCUCAGGACGAACGCUGGCGGCGUGCCUAACACAUGCAAGUCGAGCGGAGACAGGGAGUAGCUUGCUACGAACUGUUUUAGCGGCGGACGGGUGAGUAACGCGUGAGCAACCUUUCCCAGACAGGGGAAUAACACACCGAAAGGUGUACUAAUACCGCAUAAGACCACGGGAUCACAUGGUUCUGGGGUAAAAGAAUUAUCGGUUUGGGGUGGGCUCGCGUCCGAUUAGGUAGUUGGUGAGGUAACGGCCCACCAAGCCGACGAUCGGUAGCCGACCUGAGAGGGUGAUCGGCCACAUUGGGGACUGAGACACGGCCCAAACUCCUACGGGAGGCA